GGAGUGCUUGCACUCCUGAUGGUUAGCGGCGGACGGGUGAGUAACACGUAGGUAACCUGCCCAUAAGACUGGGAUAACCCACGGAAACGUGAGCUAAUACCAGAUAGGCAUUUUCCUCGCAUGAGGGAAAUGAGAAAGGCGGAGCAAUCUGUCACUUAUGGAUGGACCUGCGGCGCAUUAGCUAGUUGGUGAGGUAACGGCUCACCAAGGCGACGAUGCGUAGCCGACCUGAGAGGGUGAUCGGCCACACUGGGACUGAGACACGGCCCAGACUCCUACGGGAGGCAGCAGUAGGGAAUCUUCCGCAAUGGACGAAAGUCUGACGGAGCAACGCCGCGUGAGUGAUGAAGGUUUUCGGAUCGUAAAGCUCUGUUGCCAGGGAAGAACGCCUAGGAGAGUAACUGCUCUUAGGGUGACGGUACCUGAGAAGAAAGCCCCGGCUAACUACGUGCCAGCAGCCGCGGUAAUACGUAGGGGGCGAGCGUUGUCCGGAAUUAUUGGGCGUAAAGCGCGCGCAGGCGGCAAUGUAAGUUGGGUGUUUAAACCUAGGGCUCAACCUUGGGUCGCAUCCAAAACUGCAUAGCUUGAGUACAGAAGAGGAAAGUGGAAUUCCACGUGUAGCGGUGAAAUGCGUAGAGAUGUGGAGGAACACCAGUGGCGAAGGCGACUUUCUGGGCUGUAACUGACGCUGAGGCGCGAAAGCGUGGGGAGCA
RNAcentral lists this ribosomal RNA (713 nucleotides) under Paenibacillus sp. RNAcentral's name for it is "bacterial SSU rRNA". It matches the Rfam family "Bacterial small subunit ribosomal RNA", at positions 73 to 770 of the family's 1533-position model. The record is from RNAcentral. Lineage: Bacteria; Bacillati; Bacillota; Bacilli; Caryophanales; Paenibacillaceae.